RNAcentral lists this long non-coding RNA (4939 nucleotides) under Homo sapiens (human). RNAcentral's name for it is "non-protein coding lnc-SERTM2-7:1". The record is from RNAcentral. Lineage: Eukaryota; Metazoa; Chordata; Mammalia; Primates; Hominidae.
AAAUGAAGUUAAAUCUCUGGAUUGAAGAUAAACUGAAGAAUAAUGAACCACAUUCCAUGCAAGAGAUUUGUGACUAUGCAAGAGGAAUUUUCAGAGACAUGUCUUUAGACACUGAAAUGAAUCCAGAAAAAAAUUUGUUGGGAGUAAGGGAUGGUUUGAGGAAUUUAGGGUGUACCAUAAUGUGGAGACCAGGUCUUAUUUGACAGUUAUGCCAAAGAACAAACAGUUCCUGCAGCUCUCAUGUUGUAUUCACCACAAAUUCAGGAAGUGGCUGAAGAAGGGGAUUACAUGCCUGCACAAAUCUUUAGUGCUAUCGAGAGUGUCAAGCUUUGAAACCCUUUGAAUACUUCUGAAGAGCAAGCGCCCACUGAUGCUGAGGUCAACAAAAUCAGAGAAGCUGACAUUUCCAUUUUUUGCCAAUACUUCAGGUGACCUCAUAAUGAAACCCUUGCUGCUCUACAGAAAAUUGUGCCCAAACCCUCUCAGGGGAAAUAAAUGAGCCAAGUUUCCAGUGUACUAGCAAGCAAACAGAAAAGCCCAGAUGAAUCUUCCUCUCCUUAAGGGAUGGUUUGAACAGUACUUUCUUGUGGAUGUUCAAGACUACUUAAAAGAAAAAAAAAUACCUUGAAUUCAAAGUCCUGCUGAUUCUUCAGUCUAUUUGGUGCUUCAGGUACAUUUGCCAAUAUGCAUCCUCAUGGUAAGGUUGUCUUUAUAACUAGCCACAUGUCUGAGAUUCUUGAGCCUUUCAGUCAGUGUUUGAUCUGGCCAUUCAGGAAGGCUUAUUAUAAACUAAUGUAUAACUUUGUUCACAAUCUCGCAAAGUUUCCACUGUCUGAAAAUCCUAGUGCAUGAGACUCCUACAUCGUUAUUAAUGGCAUAUCCUUAAUAAAAGUUUGGCUUUUGAUUUUUAAUGGGUUUUCAGGAGAUAACUUCCCAAAGAGGCAUUAGAUAGUUUAACAGAGCCUGUCAUUAAUGUGACCUGUGAGAAGACUUGGCUAGAGGUGGUGAAAUAUCUUUCCUCUAUCCCUCCCAAAGACAAGAAAAACCUAUGGAUGAGGAUGAAAAUUUGGCACAAGAGCAAUCAUUGGCGGAAGUUGAAUCUGAAACUGUUGACACCAAUUCAAGUUAAUGCUGCUAGAGGCUGAUCCUCAGGAAGCUUUCUUGUCUCCAGAGGUUAUUAUCAUAAGUGAUGAUGAAGACAAUUAGGAGGCUGUGGGACUGGAAACAAAUACAGCAAUAAGAAACAGGAGCAAAAUUUUUAGAACAAGAUUAAAACCUCCCUAAGAAGGUAAUUAAAAUUGGCAUCUUUACAUGUGUCAGAUAUUACCUGUUCAAAAUUUGAGUGACUUAGAGUUCUAUAAAGAGGUGCUAUGAUGCCAUCAAACAUAAUCAUAUUGGACAGAAACAAUCUUCAAUAGAACUUAAAUCAUGUGCCAUUUAAUACUGUUGCUGGACAGCUGAUAAAACUACCUUCUGACAAAGUUUGAUUUAAUUAGACUCUAAUAAAAGGUCCUAUGAGACUUUCUAAAAGACUAUAUUGGGAAGAAAGAAACCUCAGAAAAGUCUAAAUUAUCAAGUAGUACCAUUUAAAUACUCUUACUGGACAGCUAAUAAGCUACCUUCAGACAAAGAUUGAAUGAUUAAAUUGAACUCCAUACAGAACUGCUAAGGUGUCUUCAAAAAGGACUUGAGAAGAUGAAAGCAUCUUUAGAAGGGCCACUUAAAUUCACUUGCUUGAUAGAAAUAAAGCCUCAAGCAAGUUGUUAUAACUUCAGGAUUCGACUUCACUGACUCUAAGAGUAUAGACAUCCAUAAUUUGAACUAAUGAAUAGUCCACUUCUGUUCAUUGCUUCUCUGUCACCCCCAUUUGCCACUACCAUAAUGAGUGAUAGAUACAUCUUCAUCACCUCUGGAAAUCAUCUCAGGAUCUAAAUGGAAACUGUAUAAAGCCUAUCAUUUUUACUGAUUUAAACUAUGUAAACUCAUUAUUCUUUUUAUGUAAUGUGCUGUUGUUAUUGUUUACCUGCAUAAAAAUAUUUAUGAGGGUUUUCAACAGUUUACUUGAGACCUCAUUUUUGCCCAUUUUUUUCCUUCCCGAUAUCAUGAUCUCCUCAGCUGAACUUUCUUACCUUGGGGGUUGUUCAGGAACUGACUCUCAUGGGGAAAGAGGGAUUACUAUUUCUGUGUUCCUAUCUCUUGGUAACUGCUUAACCACAGUCAGUCUUGAACUAAUGGAAGGAGCACUGGACUUGGGUUCUUGAGACCUGGGUUCAUGUUCAGUUCUGCCACUGAUUAUUGUGACAUUGGGCCAGUCACUUGAUUUCUCUGAGCCUCAGUUUCAUCACCUGUUAAGUGAGGAUAGUAAUACCUGGCACAAAUAUCACAAUAUUAGUGAUAAUUGAAUAUAAUUAUAAGUACCCAAUGGCUAUUAAAAGUAAAACUAGGAAGUGCUGAAUAACCAUAAUAUCAUUAUAUUUGUAGCAUUUUGGACCUUAUCAAUGAACAACUGAGAAAACUAGGUUUUUGAAUUCUUUUACUUUUUAAAGUAACUUCCUCCCAUUUUUAUGUCAAUUAUAGAAAAUUUUAAAAAGAAAAUUAAAUGUGCCUAUAAUUUUAUAAGCCGGAGGUAACUAAGUUGGUAUUUUUCUUCUUAGUACCUCUUUGUCUCAUCAUAAAUUGUUCAUCAAUGUCAAAAACUUGGAAAAUAAAGAUAAGCAUAUAGAAAAAAAUAAAAACCACCCAUAAUCACAAAUCCCAGAAGCAAUGUUAAUAUUUUGGUGGAUUUAUUUCCAGUCUUUUUCUAUGGCUAUAUGUGCACAUAUAUAAUUUUUACAUAGAAAAAGUCAUAAUGCAUACAGCUUUGUUGCUUUUAGCAUUUUUAUCAUGAAUAUUUUCCUACAUUUAUGCAAAGUAUUUGUAAAUAUCAUUUUCAAUGGUGUAUAAUAUUUCAUCAUAGGAUGACAUCAUGGUUUAGUUAACCAUUUUCUUUUGUUGGAUAUUUGAGGGUCUUUCCAAAUUUGGCCAUUGUAAUUUCACAAUGUCUUUUUCAUUACCUAACUGAAAAUAUUUGCUUUGGUGAAAGCAGAGGAUUUUUUGUUGUUUGUUUGUUUGUUUUUGAAGAAGUCCUUUUAAUAGCUACAUUUCAUUGACUAAGUGGAACUUCAAGAGACAGGUAGAAGAAAAAAAAAAAGAAACAGUAGAUGUAAUUUCAAGAUUGAGGAUUUAUUUUGUUAGUGACUGUUCCAGAAGCUGAAUUUUGGUGUUAGAGCAAUUCAGGAGGGACAGUUUGCCACCAUUUUAUGAUACUUUACUGUAGAAAAGUUUUCAGGAUUUAGACCAGGAAAGAGACAUCCUAACCAUAUGGGUUGAUUUUAUUUUAUGGACCCUGUGAAGUCUGGGACUGAUCAGGUUUCUCUUUUGUUGGCUACUAGAAAGCUUGGAGUCAAAUGUGUGGUCAAUGCAUAGCACUUGUAAUGGGACUCUACGGUAUGUAUGCACUUUGUAUUAGCUUUCUGCCAGGCUCCAUUUCGUGUUCCUAUCUUUAUUGUUUUUGUUUUUUCCUUUUACUUUCUUAUCUACUUUGAAUUUAUGCUAUCAUGUUGUAUUUUGUGUAUUCUUGUAAGCCACCUGACAUCCAUCUUGGAACAUGGUGGGGAAUAAACACACUAAUAAAUAAAUACAUUAAUAAAUACAUGAAUAAAUAAACCAAUAAGGAAAAAACAAUGAGGCAAAUGAAUGCAGCCAGGACUCUGAAAAUUGCAUAGUGCCUCCAAGAAUAAUCAAUGUUAAGGACUUGAAGCUUGGAAGAACAUAUUGGAAAGAAGCAGGUGAGGCUGCGAGGCUGCAUUUAGAGGUGACGUGUUCUGUGUGACGUCUGUGUCUACUGAAGCAUGCUUAUAUGUCUUGUGUCUUCUGCUGCACUUGAGCAUUAGGUGUGUUUCAGAGGAUAUGCAGUGCUGUGUAAUGGACUGUGUCUUUAGAGGGCACAGUUCAUGUGCAUUUUAUUUGUGGGGAAUCUAGAGAGAUUUGGGAGUUGGUGAGCCUGGGAAUGAUGUGAUGAUCCUUUUUCAUGGAGGCAUAGGAAGGAAUCAUUGUAUAUAAAUCAAAUCAAGACAAAUAGGAAGUUUCCUACCAUUUACUAACUAGUUACUGGGUGCCAAGCUAUGUGCCAGGCACUUUACAUGUAUUGAUUUAACACUUAACAGCCACUCUAUAUUAUUCCCUUUUUACAGAUGAGGCAAUUUAAGCUCAAAGCAUUUAAGUAGACAACCAACCUAGAAUCACAUAGCAAAUGACAGAAGCCAGAGGCCUCCCAAGUCUCUCUAACUCCAAACCCUAUGCUUACUCUACUAUAUCACACUACCUUGCAAUAGGACAAAGGGAAUAUGUGGUAAACUAUGUUCCCAGCAUCUAAAAGCCAGGAGUGGUUUUCAUUUUUCUUUAAGAAGAUGAUAGUGUGAUUUGAAACAUAUCUGAAUUUCAGAAGAGGGGACUUUUAAAAAUUGCCACUCAUAAGGAAAGAAAGAACUUUUUCACAUAUUUUUGAAAGAAACGAUGGUGAGAAGAUAUUCUUGAUAAUAGAGAUAUGCUAACAUUUGCUUUGGGUGUUUUGUAGGUUAGAUUUUUUUGGUGUGUACUUUAUAGGCUUGCAUAUUGCUUACUUUAAACAGCUGAAGUUCUAAGUAAGAGUGUUCAUAUAUGUGAAAGAGUUCUUAAAGUACUAUAUAGUUUUGUUAUUGUAUUGAAUAUAUAUUGUUCUAAUUCCUAGAGUAUGUCAUCUUCUAUAUACUCUAUACAGCAGGAAUCCUUGCUGUACAACAAUUAUAUUAAAGAAAACUCUCAGUUAUCCUUUAUGGUCUUGUCAAUCAAAUGUUUUGGUCAAUGCAUAUUACUAACUUUCAUCUAAUUAAUGCACAAUAAAAUAUACUUAGUGUGAUAA